UCAGGUAGCGGUAACAGUCAAGCAGAUACAGAUGUAGGAGCUAUAGUUGGUGGUAUAGUCGGUGUUAUAUUAGUUAUUGGUAUUGUCGGUGCUGUCAUAUUCUUUAUUAAAAGGAGAGACAAAAAAGAUAUAUCGGCGACAAAAGCUGGCCAUGUUAGUAGAACGGUUCCAAAUCAACGAUAUCAAACUGACUCGGCUUUACCUAGAAACACAACCCCUCAUUAUUCAGAUAUCGAGUUGGACAAUACCACGCGCCCUUCACGUAAUAAUCCGCCCUCUGGUGACGAUUACCAUUAUAUAUUGGGCGAUAAUCACGUAAAACAAACUGACCAUUAUAAUUAUAUUGGACAGAAAGCUGUGACGUCUGAUAUUAAUUUGAAGCAUAUUGGCGAGGAUAACUACCAUCAUAUUGGAGAGAACCAAUUAAAUACCGUUACUGACGAUGCCUACAACCAUAUUGGUGAACAUGAUAAAACUGGACUGGAUAGUGGUGGCUACCAUCAUAUUGGUGGUAAUCUCGGACGUCAAGAGAUAACGGACGUCACAUACAAUCAUAUUGGUGGUAGUCAGGGACACCCAGCUGUAGCCGAUGGUACUUACAACCAUAUUGGUGAUAGUAAUGGACAUCCAGCUAUGGCGGAUGGUACAUACAACCAUAUUGGUGAUAGUCAUGGACAUCCAGUCGUGGCGGAUGGAACAUACAACCAUAUUGAAGGGUAUCAUAGCAAUGAUAAACAAGAAGGGGAUUAUUCAUUGGCUAAACAUAAUUAAUAUAAAUAUAUCACUGGGUACUAAACAUCAUUAAUAUAAUAUAAAUAUAUAAAUCCUGGAUACUUAACAUAAUUAAUAUUAUAUAAAUAUAUAAAUAAUAUUAUAUAUAAUAUAAAUAAACCACUGGGUACUAAACAUAAUUAAUAUAUUAUAGAUAAAUAAAUCCUGGAUACUAAACAAAAAAAAUAUAAUAUAAAUUUAAAUAUAUAUUUAAUGUCUCAUAUCCCUGUCCUUGUUGGACUAGUCACAUGGGCUUAAACACAGUAACCUCAACUUCAUAUAAAACAAAUUGGUGGAUUUUUUAAAGUGAGAG
Molecule: long non-coding RNA, 1084 nt
Organism: Patella vulgata (common limpet)
Lineage: Eukaryota; Metazoa; Mollusca; Gastropoda; Patellidae
Exons: 3
Source: RefSeq, a predicted model, not a curated record